GGAAGGGCUGUCGCUCAGUGGGAGAGCACCUGCUUUGCAUGCAGAAGGCUCCAAGUUCGAUCCCUGACACCUCCC
Non-coding RNA from Podarcis lilfordi (Lilford's wall lizard), 75 nucleotides. Lineage: Eukaryota; Metazoa; Chordata; Lepidosauria; Squamata; Lacertidae. The record is from the annotation of a GenBank genome assembly.